UGGUGCAAAAACCAAGAAAAAUGCUUAUUUGGGUCCCUUUUUGGCCCCUAAUUCCUAAACUGUUGGGACCUAAACUCCCAAAAUCAAUACCAACCUUCCUUUUGUAGUCAUUAACAUUGUGUUCAAAUUUCAUUGAUUUCUAUUUACUUAAACUAAAGUUAUUGUGCGAAAACCAAGAAUAAUGCUUAUUUGGGCCUUUUUUUGGCCCCUAAUUCCUAAACUGUUGAAACCAAAACUCCCAAAAUCAAUCCCAACCGUUCUUUUGUGGUCAUAAACCUUGUGUCAAAAUUUCAUAGAUUUCUAUUAACUUAAACUAAAGUUAUAGUGCGAAAACCAAGAAAAUGCUUAUUUGGGCCCUUUUUGGCCCCUAAUUCCUAAAAUGUUGGGACCAAAACUCCCAAAAUCAAUACCAACCUUCCUUUUGUAGUCAUAAACCUUGUGUUAAAAUUUCAUAGAUUUCCA
This 462-nucleotide long non-coding RNA is filed under the name Mytilus galloprovincialis (Mediterranean mussel). The record is from RNAcentral. Lineage: Eukaryota; Metazoa; Mollusca; Bivalvia; Mytilida; Mytilidae.